UGGGGAAUAUUGCACAAUGGGCGCAAGCCUGAUGCAGCCAUGCCGCGUGUGUGAAGAAGGCCUUCGGGUUGUAAAGCACUUUCAGCGAGGAGGAAGGGUAGUGUGUUAAUAGCACAUUGCAUUGACGUUACUCGCAGAAGAAGCACCGGCUAACUCCGUGCCAGCAGCCGCGGUAAUACGGAGGGUGCAAGCGUUAAUCGGAAUUACUGGGCGUAAAGCGCACGCAGGCGGUUUGUUAAGUCAGAUGUGAAAUCCCCGCGCUUAACGUGGGAACUGCAUUUGAAACUGGCAAGCUAGAGUCUUGUAGAGGGGGGUAGAAUUCCAGGUGUAGCGGUGAAAUGCGUAGAGAUCUGGAGGAAUACCGGUGGCGAAGGCGGCCCCCUGGACAAAGACUGACNCUCAGGUGCGAAAGCGU
Molecule: ribosomal RNA, 415 nt
Filed under: uncultured bacterium
Lineage: Bacteria
Description: partial 16S ribosomal RNA
Rfam family: Bacterial small subunit ribosomal RNA
Source: RNAcentral